This 204-nucleotide long non-coding RNA is filed under the name Mytilus galloprovincialis (Mediterranean mussel). Lineage: Eukaryota; Metazoa; Mollusca; Bivalvia; Mytilida; Mytilidae. The record is from RNAcentral.
GGCUUGUUAAAAAUGCAGGGAGUGAGAUGUUAAAUAUUUUAAUAUGCACUUUUUUGUGGGAUUUAAAAAAUAUUUUUUAAAGUUGACCAGAUUCGUCAAUUCCUGAAUCCGCCACUGGAUUGACCCUUCAAAUUAACAAAUUAUCAAUGGCCAAAGUACAAUAAGUAAGAAGAUCUAAGAACAAUUGCCAAACGACCCCACAAU